ACAGCAGGGUAUAAAGAAAACAGAGCAAAUUGAGAUAGUGAACGCACAAGGAUUGAGUUCAGGGUCAUGCCUCAAUGAUGCCUUCUGUGGCGCAUCCGAGUUCACACCUGCAUGAGCUUUAGAAACCACUUCAAUCCCAUUGUUUGGCUUUAUAUAUCAAAAAAUGAAAAUGAAGUGAACAAAUAAAAAAGGUUCAGAUCAUAUAUAAGGACAUCUUAAUUUCAAAAAGGAGAGAACCAGAAAAGACCUCUAACUCUUCGGGAAGACCAGUUUGAACGACUCCAUUUCCAC
This 291-nucleotide long non-coding RNA is filed under the name Oryza sativa (Asian cultivated rice). RNAcentral's name for it is "long non-coding RNA (OSAT_LNC001178)". Lineage: Eukaryota; Viridiplantae; Streptophyta; Magnoliopsida; Poales; Poaceae. The record is from RNAcentral.